This 1109-nucleotide ribosomal RNA is filed under the name Bacillus altitudinis. RNAcentral describes it as "bacterial SSU rRNA". It matches the Rfam family "Bacterial small subunit ribosomal RNA", at positions 37 to 1169 of the family's 1533-position model. Lineage: Bacteria; Bacillati; Bacillota; Bacilli; Caryophanales; Bacillaceae. The record is from RNAcentral.
GGGGGGGGGGUGCUAUACAUGCAAGUCGAGCGGACAGAAGGGAGCUUGCUCCCGGAUGUUAGCGGCGGACGGGUGAGUAACACGUGGGUAACCUGCCUGUAAGACUGGGAUAACUCCGGGAAACCGGAGCUAAUACCGGAUAGUUCCUUGAACCGCAUGGUUCAAGGAUGAAAGACGGUUUCGGCUGUCACUUACAGAUGGACCCGCGGCGCAUUAGCUAGUUGGUGAGGUAACGGCUCACCAAGGCGACGAUGCGUAGCCGACCUGAGAGGGUGAUCGGCCACACUGGGACUGAGACACGGCCCAGACUCCUACGGGAGGCAGCAGUAGGGAAUCUUCCGCAAUGGACGAAAGUCUGACGGAGCAACGCCGCGUGAGUGAUGAAGGUUUUCGGAUCGUAAAGCUCUGUUGUUAGGGAAGAACAAGUGCAAGAGUAACUGCUUGCACCUUGACGGUACCUAACCAGAAAGCCACGGCUAACUACGUGCCAGCAGCCGCGGUAAUACGUAGGUGGCAAGCGUUGUCCGGAAUUAUUGGGCGUAAAGGGCUCGCAGGCGGUUUCUUAAGUCUGAUGUGAAAGCCCCCGGCUCAACCGGGGAGGGUCAUUGGAAACUGGGAAACUUGAGUGCAGAAGAGGAGAGUGGAAUUCCACGUGUAGCGGUGAAAUGCGUAGAGAUGUGGAGGAACACCAGUGGCGAAGGCGACUCUCUGGUCUGUAACUGACGCUGAGGAGCGAAAGCGUGGGGAGCGAACAGGAUUAGAUACCCUGGGUAGUCCACGCCGUAAAACGAUGAGUGCUAAGUGUUAGGGGGUUUUCCGCCCCUUAGUGCUGCAGCUAACGCAUUUAAGGACUCCGCCUGGGGAGUACGGUCGCAGAGUGGAUCUCAAGGAGUAUGACAGGGGGCCCCGCAUAAGCGGUGUAUCCAGCGGUUUAUUUCGAAACAACCCCAACAACCAUUACCAUGGUCGUUGACGAUCUUCAGAGAACACCUACAGAGGAGGUCUGUGCCCUUCCGAGGAAGGAAGUGACAAGAGUGUGCUAUCGUUGUACGUUCAUGCUCCAUGUCCUGACGAAUGUUGGGUUUUCAGAUCCCCCCCAAUCUAUCUCC